Long non-coding RNA from Brachypodium distachyon (stiff brome), 282 nucleotides. RefSeq lists it as uncharacterized. The record is from RefSeq and is a predicted model, not a curated record. The transcript is spliced from 2 exons. Lineage: Eukaryota; Viridiplantae; Streptophyta; Magnoliopsida; Poales; Poaceae.
AUGUCACUGCUGCUCGGUUCUAACAUAGAGUCCAACAAGUGUUGGGCAUAAGGAUUCCACAAGUCUCCACUAAUGUGCGAUGAUUCUGUUUGAGGAUCGAGCGCGAGUGGUAAUUGACAUUGGCUAUAACAUUGGGAUGCCAGUGUACUGAGAGCAGACAGGCAACGGGUAGCAUCUGUGUCAUCUGCACGCUUUGAUUAGAAAAGGAAAUAGAAGGAAGAAAAUGUUCAGAUGAGAAUGUCAAAUUUGAUAAGAGUAAUACUAAAGCUUUCUAAGCUAACC